CACGUCAGCGUGCUUUGCUAACGUGGCAGCAAAUCGCGUCCUAGAGGGCGCGAUUUGUUGCCACGUCAGCAAAUCGCGCUGGCGUGA
Molecule: non-coding RNA, 87 nt
Organism: Gossypium raimondii (Peruvian cotton)
Lineage: Eukaryota; Viridiplantae; Streptophyta; Magnoliopsida; Malvales; Malvaceae
Source: Rfam